RNAcentral lists this ribosomal RNA (444 nucleotides) under uncultured soil bacterium. Its description in RNAcentral is "bacterial SSU rRNA". It matches the Rfam family "Bacterial small subunit ribosomal RNA", at positions 26 to 518 of the family's 1533-position model. The record is from RNAcentral.
AGAACGAACGCUGGCGGCAUGCCUAACACAUGCAAGUCGAACGAGACCUUCGGGUCUAGUGGCGCACGGGUGCGUAACGCGUGGGAAUCUGCCCUUGGGUACGGAAUAACAGUGGGAAACUACUGCUAAUACCGUAUAAUGACUUCGGUCCAAAGAUUUAUCGCCCAGGGAUGAGCCCGCGUAGGAUUAGCUUGUUGGUGAGGUAAGAGCUCACCAAGGCGACGAUCCUUAGCUGGUCUGAGAGGAUGAUCAGCCACACUGGGACUGAGACACGGCCCAGACUCCUACGGGAGGCAGCAGUGGGGAAUAUUGGACAAUGGGCGAAAGCCUGAUCCAGCAAUGCCGCGUGAGUGAUGAAGGCCUUAGGUUGUAAAGCUCUUUUGCCCGGGAUGAUAAUGACAGUACCGGAGAAUAAGCUCCGGCUAACUCCGUGCCAGCAGCCGC